RNAcentral lists this long non-coding RNA (831 nucleotides) under Numida meleagris (helmeted guineafowl). Its description in RNAcentral is "lncRNA (ENSNMEG00000000252.1)". The record is from RNAcentral. Lineage: Eukaryota; Metazoa; Chordata; Aves; Galliformes; Numididae.
UGCACUUGUUGUGCAAUUCUUUUUGGCAGUGUUUGAAUUACUUCUAGUGCUCAAUCUUGGGUUGGCUUCUUGUUGCUAUGCAAGCUUUUCUGUCAAGUGUACUGCACAACAUUCUGAUCUGAAAGCCAGUUGGCGAGAGUUGCUUGCUUAGAAUGAUAAUACUUUUGAUUUCAUUUUAAAGUUAAAGGAUUGUUUUAUGAAGUGUUGUCCUUAGCCUUAAGGCUCUAAAUAGUGCCAUUUUGGACCACUGAAUGAUCAUCUUUGAUAGAGAAGGAAAAGUGUCUUAUUUGCAGAUUGUCUUUAGAUGACUGACUUAAAGAACGUGCUCUUUGGAUGGGAAAACUUCAGAUCGAGAUGAGCUGAAGAAAGCCAAUGAUGAUAUGUUGUCAAGGAAGCGGUAACGCCUCUGAAAUAGGCUCAGAGAAGGACAACAAACUGUAAAACUAUGGAUUAGCAGAGUUCCUCAGCUGGAAAGAGAUGACAGAUGGGGGCAGGACUGUAUCUCCAGCUUUGAAUUCCUAUCCAGUCCUAAGGAAAUCCUGUUGCAUUACUGACAGCUGAUGCAUCAAGUGAAGUUUGAUGAUAGCAAAAAUCUCUAUUGGUGGAGUCUACAGGCUGCAGACAAACCUUGAGGAAGGUCUCCUAUAGCAGCAUGAAAGGUUUGUGUGUUCAUCUGCCUGUUUCUACAUCUAUCUUUUAUGAUGUCGACUAUCUCUGAACUGAGAAGAGAUGAAAAAGAGAUUUCAUUAGAGGAAGGGAUGGAAUAAGAUGGGAGGUAGAAGAGGAUAGGAAAAGCAUACAUUUGCAUGCAAUGAAACUUCAGUAUCAAAG